RNAcentral lists this ribosomal RNA (253 nucleotides) under uncultured bacterium. RNAcentral describes it as "partial 16S ribosomal RNA". It matches the Rfam family "Bacterial small subunit ribosomal RNA", at positions 524 to 776 of the family's 1533-position model. The record is from RNAcentral.
UACAGAGGGUGCAAGCGUUAAUCGGACUUACUGGGCGUAAAGGGCGCGUAGGUGGCCAUUUAAGUGAGAUGUGAAAUCCCCGGGCCUAACCUGGGAACUGCAUUUCAAACUGGAUGGCUAGAGUAUAGGAGAGGAAAGUGGAAUUUCCGGUGUAGCGGUGAAAUGCGUAGAUAUCGGAAAGAACAUCAGUGGCGAAGGCGACUUUCUGGCCUAAUACUGACACUGAGGCGCGAAAGCGUGGGGAGCAAACAGG